RNAcentral lists this ribosomal RNA (253 nucleotides) under uncultured Blautia sp. Its description in RNAcentral is "partial 16S ribosomal RNA". It matches the Rfam family "Bacterial small subunit ribosomal RNA", at positions 524 to 776 of the family's 1533-position model. Lineage: Bacteria; Bacillati; Bacillota; Clostridia; Lachnospirales; Lachnospiraceae. The record is from RNAcentral.
UACGUAGGGGGCAAGCGUUAUCCGGAUUUACUGGGUGUAAAGGGAGCGUAGACGGAAUUGCAAGUCUGAUGUGAAAGCCCGGGGCUCAACCCCGGGACUGCAUUUGGAACUGUGCUGCUAGAGUGUCGGAGAGGCAGGCGGAAUUCCUAGUGUAGCGGUGAAAUGCGUAGAUAUUAGGAGGAACACCAGUGGCGAAGGCGGCUUUCUGGACUGUAACUGACACUGAGGUACGAAAGUGUGGGGAGCAAACAGG